AAUUUAGCAUAAGUAUAUCCCAUGCAAUAUUUGGGACAUACUUAUACUAAAC
This is a microRNA precursor of Sus scrofa (pig), 52 nucleotides long. It matches the Rfam family "mir-1302 microRNA precursor family". Lineage: Eukaryota; Metazoa; Chordata; Mammalia; Artiodactyla; Suidae. The record is from Rfam.